ACAAGAAAGUCCGAAGCACUAAAGAUUUCCUGGAGUUAUAUGUCUUCCUGUUGAAAAUGCAACAAGUUUCUGAUGAACACUGGUUACUGGUGAUUUUCCUGAAUUUUUUUUUUUUUAAUAACAGCUACCUUCUCACCAUGUUAUUGUGAAGAGUGAGUGAGAAAAUAUAUGUGAAACGCCAAGCAGAGUGCCUGACUCAAGAAAGUGGUUAAUAAAUGUUCAUAUCACCUUCUGUGCA
This is a long non-coding RNA of Bos indicus x Bos taurus (hybrid cattle), 238 nucleotides long. NCBI's taxonomy places the organism in Eukaryota, Metazoa, Chordata, Mammalia, Artiodactyla, Bovidae. The record is from Ensembl.